This is a long non-coding RNA of Macaca fascicularis (crab-eating macaque), 1850 nucleotides long. The record is from Ensembl. NCBI's taxonomy places the organism in Eukaryota, Metazoa, Chordata, Mammalia, Primates, Cercopithecidae.
UUUUUUUUUUUUUUUUUUUUUUGGGACAAGUACCUACUAUGUGCCUGGCAUGGCCCUGGGCACUGAGAAAACAACAGAAAAAAAGCUAGAAAACUAGAAAAAAAGCUCAUCCUUCUGAGCCCUGGGUCUGUGUGACACAGCAUGCGUGAGGCUGGUGGAUUACACAGUGUGCUACCUGCUGGACAGCUUUUCUAUCAGUUCUCCUACUCACCUCAACUAAUACUGGCUGAAUUAAUGAGUGAAUGAAUGAAUGAAUGAACCAAUGUCUCCACUUUAUUCAUUACUGGAUCCCCAGUUCCUGCAGAGGUGUGACACGUGAUAGAUACUCAACAUACGUUUGCAGAAUAAUUGGACCUAAAAUCCAGUGCCUGGUCCCACAAAGGAGCACAGGGCUUACAUUCAGACCCAAAUUCAAAUCCUAGCAGUGCCACUCACGUGCUGGGUGACCUUGACUCAGUCCAUCCCCUGCUGCCUGCUCCACAUCUGGAAAUUGAGGAUAGUGCUAGUGCCCCCUCCCCAGGCUACUGUGAUGAGAUCACCAAGGCUGGGAAAUAUCAGGGAAGGGGGGUUGCCAGCCUUGGAGCCUGCAUAGUUAAGCCUUCCUCCCCUACCCCCACCACCCCAUGUCACGUGGCUGGUGGUCAUUCCCUCCAGGACAAAAGGCCCGAUUUAAUCCAGCCCACCAUCACCACUGUCGCCACUGGGACACAAUGCAGCAGGUUUGUGGCCAACGUCUGCUGAUCAGGUUUCGUGUAACAUCCCUGCCAGGCUGCCCGGGCCGGCAGACAAAGGCCUCUUUGUUGCAAAUAUGUUUUUUAAAUCCCUGAAGAUAUUAGCAGUGCGGGGAAACUCACACUGUGAAACAGUUCAGAAAUUGUUAAAGGAACAUGUUUCAAACUGGGGGGUGAUCAUUUAAAUGGAAUCUGCCCUCGUGCUUUCUUAUCGAGAGCAAGAUUCCUCAGAGCCAGAUUGGGCCCCGGACCUGGGCAGGGAAGUUUCCAAGGCCAAAUAACCUUAACACUCAUCAUAACAACAAUGCCAGCAGCCAUUUACGGAGUCCACAAGGCCAGUCGCCAGCCCGCCUAUGCCUUUGUGCACGUGACCGCCAAACCUCGGCACUUAGAGAGAUUCAGAUGGGCAGUCCCAUUCGACAGAUGGAAAAUCUGAGGUUUAGGGAAGUGUUGGCCCAAGUCACAGCUGGCCUUGAACCAGGUUUUUUGGAUCCUCCACACAGCCCCUGUGCCCUCUUCAUUCUGUUGAUGGCCACAGGCAUGGAACACGUCCCAACUUGUGAACUCUGUCCCAUCAGGCAUCCAGGAGGGCAUCUGACGGGCACCCAGUCCCCUCACACCCUGUUCCUUCAAGUUCACACAAGAGUGCCUCCUCCAACACAUCUCUCCACCUACUUCUCUGUCACCUGGGCUGAGUGCAGUGGUCACGAUCAUGGCUCACUGCAGCCUCAAUGUCCCAGGCUUAACCGAUCCUUCCACCUCAGCCUCUCGAGUAGCUGGAACUAUAGGCACACACCAACACACCCAGCUAAUUUUUGUAUUUUUUAAAUUUAUUAUUUAAUUAAUUUAUUUAUUUAGAGAUGGAGUCUCUCUCUGUCACCCAGGCUGGAGUGCAGUGGUGCAAUCUUGGCUCAUUGCAACCUCCGCCUCCCAGGUUCAAGUGAUUCUCCUGGCUCAGCCUCCUGAAUAGCUGGGAUUACAGGCGCCCACCACCACACCUGGCUCAUUUUUUUUUUUUUUGUAUUUUUUAAUUUUUUUUUUUUUUUUUUUAGAUGGAGUCUCACUCUGUCACCCAGGCUGGACUGCAAUGGGGUGGCCUCGGCUCACUGCAACCUCUGC